Long non-coding RNA from Haplochromis burtoni (Burton's mouthbrooder), 196 nucleotides. RefSeq lists it as uncharacterized. Lineage: Eukaryota; Metazoa; Chordata; Actinopteri; Cichliformes; Cichlidae. The record is from RefSeq and is a predicted model, not a curated record. The transcript has 3 exons.
CAAGACACCAUUUUCUGUAAUCACAGCAACCAAGUGAGCUGGAAUCAAACCAUGAAGGUGCUCAAAUCUUACUGUGAAACAGAGACAGCUCCCAGUGGAGCCAUCAUAAAUGCAGCUUCGACUUCUGUUCUCUUCUUGCUGACUCUCUUCAUAACCUUUGUGGCAUCAUGAAAUGUAAUGCCAUGGGAAGCCCAGA